Molecule: ribosomal RNA, 497 nt
Filed under: uncultured bacterium
Lineage: Bacteria
Description: partial 16S ribosomal RNA
Rfam family: Bacterial small subunit ribosomal RNA
Source: RNAcentral
GAUGAACGCUGGCGGCGUGCCUAAUACGUGCAAGUCGAGCGAACAGAUGAGGAGCUUGCUCCUCUGACGUUAGCGGCGGACGGGUGAGUAACACGUGGAUAACCUACCUAUAAGACUGGGAUAACUUCGGGAAACCGGAGCUAAUACCGGAUAAUAUAUUGAACCGCAUGGUUCAAUAGUGAAAGACGGUUUUGCUGUCACUUAUAGAUGGAUCCGCGCCGCAUUAGCUAGUUGGUAAGGUAACGGCUUACCAAGGCAACGAUGCGUAGCCGACCUGAGAGGGUGAUCGGCCACACUGGAACUGAGACACGGUCCAGACUCCUACGGGAGGCAGCAGUAGGGAAUCCUCCGCAAUGGGCGAAAGCCUGACGGAGCAACGCCGCGUGAGUGAUGAAGGUCUUCGGAUCGUAAAACUCUGUUAUUAGGGAAGAACAAAUGUGUAAGUAACUAUGCACGUCUUGACGGUACCUAAUCAGAAAGCCACGGCUAACUACGUG